AACGAACGCUGGCGGCAUGCCUAACCCAUGCCAGUCGAACUAUGCUUUCGGGCAUAGUGCCGCACGGGUGCGUAACGCGUGGGAAUCUGCACUCAGGUUCGGAAUACCAGUUGGAAACGACUGCUAAUACCGGAUGAUGACGUUAAGUCCAAAGAUUUAUCGCCUGAGGAUGAGCCCGCGUAGGAUUAGCUAGUUGGUGUGGUAAGAGCGCACCAAGGCGACGAUCCUUAGCUGGUCUGAGAGGAUGAUCAGCCACACUGGGACUGAGACACGGCCCAGACUCCUACGGGAGGCAGCAGUGGGGAAUAUUGGACAAUGGGCGCAAGCCUGAUCCAGCAAUGCCGCGUGAGUGAUGAAGGCCUUAGGGUUGUAAAGCUCUUUUACCCGGGAUGAUAAUGACAGUACCGGGAGAAUAAGCUCCGGCUAACUCCGUGCCAGCAGCCGCGGUAAUACGGAGGGAGCUAGCGUUGUUCGGAAUUACUGGGCGUAAAGCGCACGUAGGCGGCUUUGUAAGUUAGAGGUGAAAGCCUGGAGCUCAACUCCAGAAUUGCCUUUAAGACUGCAUCGCUUGAAUCCAGGAGAGGUGAGUGGAAUUCCGAGUGUAGAGGUGAAAUUCGUAGUUUUCGGACGAACACCCGGGGGAAGGCGCUCCACUGGACUGUUAUGACGCCGAGGUGCAAAGCGUGGGGGGCAAACAGGAUUAGAUACCCUGGUAUUCCACCCGUUAAACGAGAUAACUAGCUGUCCGGGAACUUGUUUUUGGUGGCGCAGUUAACGCAUUAAGUUUCCGC
RNAcentral lists this ribosomal RNA (791 nucleotides) under uncultured bacterium. RNAcentral describes it as "bacterial SSU rRNA". It matches the Rfam family "Bacterial small subunit ribosomal RNA", at positions 28 to 872 of the family's 1533-position model. The record is from RNAcentral.